CGCCACGCCCCCGGCAGGUCCUUCUGCGCACCUCUCAGCGGCGGGAAGGGACCGCCGAGCGCCGCCCAGAGAAGAGCCAGGGGUCGCUGUGGUCCUCUGCAUGUAGGCCGCCGCCGCGCUCUUGGGCCUCGUAGGUGCCAGGAAAGCCCUGCCUAAAUCCGGCGAAUCCCACCCAUGCUCUCCUCCCUUCCAGGUCCUUCUGAAGAUGUAUUAUUUAUCAAGCAAAAAGGAGAAUUGGCAUCUCCCAUAACCAAGAGAGCAGCCCAGGUGUAAGAGGGAGAUUGGGGCGGAUGAAAGCUGUUUUUCAAGGCAAGAGAAGAGAGAGAAGCCAGACAAGAUGGUGAAAGAUCAGAGAAAUAUGAGAGACCCAGAAGAAUGUUUGUGUCAUGGAAGCCAAAGGGAGAGAGAAUCUUGGAAAGAGAUCUUUGGAAAUCUCAAGGAGGAUGGGGACUGAGAAAUGGCCACUGGAGUUAAGUCAGUAACCGCACACCAAACAGUUCACAAGGUGGGAGGAGCUGGGAUUGCUGGCAGGGAAGUGUUGGCCAAGGAGAACUUUAUAUUCUUACCAUCUAUUUCUACUUCUUGAAAUAUUUUACCAUAAGAAUAUAUCCUCAUGUAAAAAUUUUUAACAUAUAGUAAUUUUUAAAGAAAAAAGUCAGAAUCCUCUCUGGGCCUUCCACCCCUGCUUUCUGCAAGUACCCACUUCUGGGAGUUUAGAGCACAUGCUUGUACACGGCUAGGAGUGCAAAAUGGCACAGCCCCAGGGAGGGCAAUUUGGCAACAAAAAAGAAAAAAACAUUUAAAUGAUACCUCAAUAAAGUUCUUUUAAAAAGUUACAAAUGCAUAAACCCUCUAGAUACAUUCACAAACAUGCGAAAUGAUACUGUGUACAAAGAUAUUCACUGUAACUUUAUUUGUUACAGGAAGAGUCUAGGAAUAAUCUGUGUCUUCCAAUAAGGGAUAGUUAAAUAAACUGUGCUACAGUCACACAAUGGAAUCUCAUGCUGCUACUAAAAGAAAAAAGAAAAAAAGAGAGAAGGAAGCUCUCCCUAUAGUGAUAUGGAAAGAUUUCCAAAAUAGAUUAAAUGAAAAAAACAAGAUACAGAGCAGUUGUAUGCUCCUUUUAUGUAAGCAAGGAGGCAGAAGAAGAAUACGCUUAUACAUAGUAGUGUAAUAUAUUUUAAUUUACAUAUGUUUGCAUAAAGAAACUCUAGAGUGAUAAGAAACAAAUGGAAUUGUUUAUCUGGAGUGAAGGGUGUAGACGGAGACAGGUGGGAUUAUUCUAGAUCACUUUCUCAUUUAUGUACACAGUGUCAUUAGAUCCUUAAAGCAAAUCUGAGGCAAGUAUUAUUCUCCUGAUUUUACAGAAGAAGACUGGAAAGACUAAGUCACUUACUUGCCCGGUUACCAACUUACACAGCUGGUGAACAUGGAGCCCAGUUCCAGCAUAGCUCUGCCUAACUCCAAAGUCCAUGCUGCAACAUCGUUCACACUGUGCCCUGAAUAAACGUGGGCCCCUUGUCUUCAGAUUUAUGAUCUGAAGUAAAUGACAUCAAAGGCAGAAUAAUCAAAGGUCAGAGGCAAACACAUUUUAAGGUGUUUAUACAAAUACAAGGGACUAGAGAUCAGGAGACAUUUUUUAUCAAGUGGACUGGUUUUACUGGCAGUUUGUAUUUCUGUAUUUGUUCCUUUGUUGACUUCCUGGCUUUUCAGAUGUCUAUUUUGGAAUAAAUAAGUGGAGGAGGGGGUGGAAAGUUGAUCUACUUUAUGUGGUA
This is a long non-coding RNA of Vicugna pacos (alpaca), 1775 nucleotides long. RefSeq lists it as uncharacterized. The record is from RefSeq and is a predicted model, not a curated record. NCBI's taxonomy places the organism in Eukaryota, Metazoa, Chordata, Mammalia, Artiodactyla, Camelidae.